GUGGGGAAUCUUGCGCAAUGGGCGAAAGCCUGACGCAGCCAUGCCGCGUGGAUGAUGAAGGUCUUAGGAUUGUAAAAUCCUUUCACCGGUGAAGAUAAUGACUGUAGCCGGAGAAGAAGCCCCGGCUAACUUCGUGCCAGCAGCCGCGGUAAUACGAAGGGGGCUAGCGUUGCUCGGAAUUACUGGGCGUAAAGGGCGCGUAGGCGGACAGCUUAGUCAGAGGUGAAAGCCCAGGGCUCAACCUUGGAAUUGCCUUUGAUACUGGCUGUCUUGAGUUUGGGAGAGGUGAGUGGAACUCCGAGUGUAGAGGUGAAAUUCGUAGAUAUUCGGAAGAACACCAGUGGCGAAGGCGACUCACUGGCCCAAUACUGACGCUGAGGCGCGAAAGCGUGGGGAGCAAACAGGAUUAGAUACCCGUGUAGUCC
Molecule: ribosomal RNA, 425 nt
Filed under: uncultured bacterium
Lineage: Bacteria
Description: partial 16S ribosomal RNA
Rfam family: Bacterial small subunit ribosomal RNA
Source: RNAcentral